RNAcentral lists this transfer RNA (78 nucleotides) under Pseudomonas hygromyciniae. RNAcentral's name for it is "Pseudomonas sp. SDM007 tRNA-Val". It matches the Rfam family "tRNA". Rfam says of the family: Transfer RNA (tRNA) molecules are approximately 80 nucleotides in length. Their secondary structure includes four short double-helical elements and three loops (D, anti-codon, and T loops). Lineage: Bacteria; Pseudomonadati; Pseudomonadota; Gammaproteobacteria; Pseudomonadales; Pseudomonadaceae. The record is from RNAcentral.
AGGCACGUAGCUCAGUUGGUUAGAGCACCACCUUGACAUGGUGGGGGGUCGUUGGUUCGAGUCCAAUCGCGCCUACCA